GGAUUGCAAUGGGGGAACCCUGAUGCAGCAACGCCGCGUGAAGGAUGAAGGUUUUCGGAUUGUANACUUCUUUGAUUGGGGACGAAUAAUGACGGUACCCAAAAAACAAGCCACGGCUAACUACGUGCCAGCAGCCGCGGUAAUACGUAGGUGGCGAGCGUUGUCCGGAAUUACUGGGUGUAAAGGGCGUGUAGGCGGGGAUGUAAGUCAGAUGUGAAAUUCCAUGGCUCAACUGUGGCGCUGCAUCUGAAACUAUAUCUCUUGAGUGCUGGAGAGGAAAGCGGAAUUCCUAGUGUAGCGGUGAAAUGCGUAGAUAUUAGGAGGAACACCAGUGGCGAAGGCGGCUUUCUGGACAGUAACUGACGCUGAGGCGCGAAAGCGUGGGGAGCAAACAGGAUUAGAUACCCUGGUAGUCCACGCUGUAAACGAUGGAUACUAGGUGUAGGAGGUAUCGACCCCUUCUGUGCCGGAGUUAACACAAUAAGUAUCCCACCUGGGGAGUACGGCCGCAAGGUUGAAACUCAAAGAAAUUGACGGA
RNAcentral lists this ribosomal RNA (538 nucleotides) under uncultured bacterium. RNAcentral's name for it is "bacterial SSU rRNA". It matches the Rfam family "Bacterial small subunit ribosomal RNA", at positions 359 to 917 of the family's 1533-position model. The record is from RNAcentral.